This 262-nucleotide ribosomal RNA is filed under the name uncultured bacterium. RNAcentral's name for it is "partial 16S ribosomal RNA". It matches the Rfam family "Bacterial small subunit ribosomal RNA", at positions 1272 to 1529 of the family's 1533-position model. The record is from RNAcentral.
UCCCAGAAACCCUAUCUCAGUCCGGAUUGGAGUCUGCAACUCGACUCCAUGAAGUCGGAAUCGCUAGUAAUCGCAGAUCAGCAUUGCUGCGGUGAAUACGUUCCCGGGCCUUGUACACACCGCCCGUCACACCAUGGGAGUUUGUUGCACCAGAAGCAGGUAGCUUAAGCCAUUCGGGAGGGCGCUUGCCACGGUGUGGCCGAUGACUGGGGUGAUGUUCGUAACAAGGUAGCCGUAUCGGAAGGUGCGGCUGGAUCACCUC